RNAcentral lists this long non-coding RNA (213 nucleotides) under Phoenix dactylifera (date palm). Its description in RNAcentral is "long non-coding RNA (PDAC_LNC009821)". The record is from RNAcentral. Lineage: Eukaryota; Viridiplantae; Streptophyta; Magnoliopsida; Arecales; Arecaceae.
UUGGCCCUGCAUAAGUACCUAAGAUCUAUCUAGUGCAUAGCUGAUGUAAGACUAAAUACACCCCACAUGGGUUCUCACAUAAUUAUAGUAUGACUUUGCCUAUACUUUGGUGUGACUCUAUAAGGACCUUGGUGUGACUCUAUAGCAACCUUGGUACGACUAAGGGGCCUCUUCCUUUCUGUGCAACUCCAAAAGACCCUAUGUGAAGCCAAU